GACGAACGCUGGCGGCGUGCUUAACACAUGCGAGUCGAACGGAAAGGCCCUGCUUUUGUGGGGUGCUCGAGUGGCGAACGGGUGAGUAACACGUGAGUAACCUGCCCUUGACUUUGGGAUAACUUCAGGAAACUGGGGCUAAUACCGGAUAGGAGCUCCUGCUGCAUGGUGGGGGUUGGAAAGUUUCGGCGGUUGGGGAUGGACUCGCGGCUUAUCAGCUUGUUGGUGGGGUAGUGGCUUACCAAGGCUUUGACGGGUAGCCGGCCUGAGAGGGUGACCGGCCACAUUGGGACUGAGAUACGGCCCAGACUCCUACGGGAGGCAGCAGUGGGGAAUAUUGCACAAUGGGCGGAAGCCUGAUGCAGCAACGCCGCGUGCGGGAUGACGGCCUUCGGGUUGUAAACCGCUUUCGCCUGUGACGAAGCGUGAGUGACGGUAAUGGAUAAAGAAGCACCGGCUAACUACGUG
Molecule: ribosomal RNA, 468 nt
Filed under: uncultured bacterium
Lineage: Bacteria
Description: partial 16S ribosomal RNA
Rfam family: Bacterial small subunit ribosomal RNA
Source: RNAcentral